Molecule: long non-coding RNA, 2038 nt
Organism: Cyprinus carpio carpio
Lineage: Eukaryota; Metazoa; Chordata; Actinopteri; Cypriniformes; Cyprinidae
Source: Ensembl
GGGCUGGUUAUUUGUGAUAGUUUGUCUUGGUUGUCUUUAUCUCUAUGUGAUAUUUUUUGUAGAGCUAUACAACUUGGCACUUUUACAUAUGGAGAGAAGUAACCUAUGUGUUUCUUUCUUAUUUUGGUUUUGUUUGAUAACUAAUCUUUUUUGUAGAACGAGUUGCCCUUCUUUUUUUUUUUUUCUAAACCCUUGUGGGACCCUGUGAAGCAGUAAUCUCUUGAAAACACUUCCAAGGCACACUUCACUCUUAAAUCAAAUAUUAUAUUUUGAAGAAAGAAAAUCAAGCCUUUUUUAAAACAAUUUUCAAUUUGCAUUGUGACAUUAUUUUUAUAACAAUUAAGCACAUUUUCUCUGGGGCAUUUUUUUAGAUGUAUUAUUUAUUUUUUUAAUUAAAUGCAGAGUCAAGCAGAUAAAUGGUCUGUGGCCUGCUUCAAAUGAGUGGCAUUGUAACAUCAUAAACAUUAUAUCAAACAUUUAUCGAACUCUUGUUAUCGUUUUAUCGUGGAAAAUUGUAUAAGGAUAAUUAUCAUUAUCAUUGAUUUAUCGCCCAGCCCUAAUUACAGUAAUAGGAAUUUUCUGUAUUGCAGUAAUGAUAGUUUUGAUAAAGAAUGUGCUUAAUUGUCAUGAAAACCGUCAUGAAUUAAUCACAAUGCAAAAAUGUAUAAUGUUUUUGUUUUAUUUUACUUUUUUCUUCUUCUUCUUCUUUUGAUGUUGGGCUGAAAUAUGACCCAGAUGUUAGUUUUGUGGGAUUCACCCACUGAUACAUUUGUUUUAGAACUUUUUAAUUACAACAUUCAAUUCUGUAAUAAAUAAUAGCCACGUAUUCACAACAUCACUUACUGUAUUAUGACCACAAUGCUAUAAAGUCGCAGUUUAGUCUUAAUUCAAGCACAUAAAUGUGUAGAUGUAACCGAGAUGUAAGUUUUUACUGGCAAGGCUUGCUCUUGAGGAUCUAAGGCUAAUUAGAGAGAUCUGGACCUUCGCUCCUGUUUAUUCUUUACCACGUUUCUGUUUUGUGGAAGUUAAACAAUUGAUUGGUAGUCCUGUCUUCCAGUCACGGCCAAUCAAAAAGCCUCAGAAAGACAAUAAACAGCAAUUAUUAAUGGAUCGCUGGAGAGAGCGUUGCCCUGGAGGACCCAGUCACGUUUACAAAAAUAAACUCAACAGCAUUUCAGCAAGAUGUCAUCCAUAUUUAAUGAGCCAUGUGAAAUCUGUGCAUAGCCCACUUUCAAGUUGAAAUGCAAUUUCCACACACAAAACAACAUUUCCUCCUCAUUGCCUCUGAACACACUGUGCUUGCGUUCAUGGAUGAAAGCCAAUGAACACUACUGACUGGAUUUGAUUAGGGCAGACCUGCACAUUUAUUUGGGUCUUACAGGGGGAGGCUUUUUUUUUUCUUUUUUAGUGCAUUCUCUAAGUAUUGUUGUAAAUACUUGAGUGUCACUCGCCAAAACUUACAAAAAAAAGUUGAAUAAAAAAAAAUACAAAAAAGUUUGGAGAAAAUUAGAGAUGUAAUAUAUUGUCUAUGACCUUAAUAAUUUAUUGUUGAGCAGAAAAACUGAACUUAGUGGAAGACGCAGCUCAAAUCACAAAUGUUUGUGUUGUGUUGAUCUCUCAAAGAACGUUUCAAAGUUCAAGAUUUCAUAGAGUGUCCGUUUGUUCUUUUUCUUCUUAUUAUUUUGGUUCUUCUGAGAGCACAACAAUGUCCGUUUUUCAAAACUAUUCUAAGCAAGUUUAUUUGUUCCAAGAAAUUGAAGCCCAAGAAGCUUCUAGAAAUGUGUCCCCGUUUCCCCUCUCCACCCUCUCAUGCUUUCUUUCUACAUGAAAUAUCAACUCUUCUUGAGUUUGUAUACUACUGGUGUUUAAUGUUCAUGUAAAAAAUAAUGUCAACAUGGGUCAUGAUACUGCAGAUUUACAUAUAAAAAAAGGGUAGAUGAAAAGUUGACUCAGAAUUCCUGUAGCACAGCAGUUUUUUUUUUUCAGUUUCUCAUAUAAUUUUGUUUCUUUGCAGCACAAUAAAUACUUUUUAAACAAA